This 520-nucleotide unclassified non-coding RNA is filed under the name uncultured Glomus. RNAcentral's name for it is "SSU rRNA". It matches the Rfam family "Eukaryotic small subunit ribosomal RNA", at positions 569 to 1090 of the family's 1831-position model. The record is from RNAcentral. Lineage: Eukaryota; Fungi; Glomeromycota; Glomeromycetes; Glomerales; Glomeraceae.
AGCAGCCGCGGUAAUUCCAGCUCCAAUAGCGUAUAUUAAAGUUGUUGCAGUUAAAAAGCUCGUAGUUGAAUUUCGGGACCAAUUUGUUGGUCGUGCCUCGGUACGUACUGGUAUUAUUGGUUUCUCCCUUCUGAAGAACCUCGAUGCCAUUAAUUUGGUGUCGUGGGGAAUCAGGACUGUUACUUUGAAAAAAAUUAGAGUGUUUAAAGCAAGCAUACGCUUGAAUACAUUAGCAUGGAAUAAUGAAAUAGGACGUUUGAUUCUAUUUUGUUGGUUUCUAGGAUCGACGUAAUGAUUAAUAGGGAUAGUUGGGGGCAUUAGUAUUCAAUUGUCAGAGGUGAAAUUCUUGGAUUUAUUGAAGACUAACUACUGCGAAAGCAUUUGCCAAGGAUGUUUUCAUUAAUCAAGAACGAAAGUUAGGGGAUCGAAGACGAUCAGAUACCGUCGUAGUCUUAACCAUAAACUAUGCCGACUAGGGAUCGGAUGAUGUUAAUUUUUUAAUGACUCAUUCGGCGCCUUA